This 730-nucleotide ribosomal RNA is filed under the name uncultured bacterium. RNAcentral's name for it is "bacterial SSU rRNA". It matches the Rfam family "Bacterial small subunit ribosomal RNA", at positions 771 to 1501 of the family's 1533-position model. The record is from RNAcentral.
ACCAGGAUUAGAUACCCUGGUAGUCCAUGCCGUAAACAAUGUCUACUAUCCGUUGGGGCCUUUGAGGCUUUAGUGGCGCAGCUAACGCGAUAAGUAGACCGCCUGGGGAGUACGGUCGCAAGACUAAAACUCAAAUGAAUUGACGGGGGCCCGCACAAGCGGUGGAGCAUGUGGUUUAAUUCUAUGCAACGCGAAGAACCUUACCUGGUCUUGACAUAUUAAGAACUUUCCAGAGAUGGAUUGGUGCCUUCGGGAACUUACAUACAGGUGCUGCAUGGGUGUCGUCAGCUCGUGUCGUGAGAUGUUGGGUUAAGUCCCGCAACGAGCGCAACCCUUUUCCUUAUUUGCCAGCACUUCGGGUGGGAACUUUAAGGAUACUGCCAGUGACAAACUGGAGGAAGGCGGGGACGACGUCAAGUCAUCAUGGCCCUUACGACCAGGGCUACACACGUGCUACAAUGGUCGGUACAAAGGGUUGCUACCUACCGAUAGGAUGCUAAUCUCAAAAAGCCGAUCGUAGUCCGGAUUGGAGUCUGCAACUCGACUCCAUGAAGUCGGAAUCGCUAGUAAUCGCGGAUCAGAAUGCCGCGGUGAAUACGUUCCCGGGCCUUGUACACACCGCCCGUCACACCAUGGGAGUUUGUUGCACCAGAAGUAGGUAGUCUAACCGUAAGGAGGACGCUUACCACGGUGUGGCCGAUGACUGGGGUGAAGUCGUAACAAGGUAACC